Molecule: microRNA precursor, 63 nt
Filed under: Pelobates cultripes (western spadefoot toad)
Lineage: Eukaryota; Metazoa; Chordata; Amphibia; Anura; Pelobatidae
Source: RNAcentral
ACCCUCCCACCUCCUGGACAGCAUACAUGUUGAACAUGUAUGCUGUCCAGGAGGUGGGAGGGU